Molecule: ribosomal RNA, 251 nt
Filed under: uncultured bacterium
Lineage: Bacteria
Description: partial 16S ribosomal RNA
Rfam family: Bacterial small subunit ribosomal RNA
Source: RNAcentral
UACGAAGGGGGCUAGCGUUGUUCGGAAUUACUGGGCGUAAAGCGCACGUAGGCGGAUCUUUAAGUCAGAGGUGAAAUCCCAAGGCUCAACCUUGGAACUGCCUUUGAUACUGGGGAUCUUGAGUCCGGAAGAGGUGAGUGGAACUGCGAGUGUAGAGGUGAAAUUCGUAGAUAUUCGCAAGAACACCAGUGGCGAAGCGGCUCACUGUCCGGUACUGACGCUGAGGUGCGAAAGCGUGGGGAGCAAACAGG